RNA transcript from Seriola aureovittata, 2608 nucleotides. It is a transcript of the gene named rho GTPase-activating protein 20-like, with no coding region annotated. Lineage: Eukaryota; Metazoa; Chordata; Actinopteri; Carangiformes; Carangidae. The record is from RefSeq and is a predicted model, not a curated record. The transcript is spliced from 12 exons.
UUGGAAAACUCCCGAGUUUUGAUGUUUCUUUAGACGGCAGUACUGUGUUAAAUGAAAUAAAACAUGGACUGAGUGCACAAUAGCUACAUUCAAAUGCUGAAUAAAAGCGAUGGGGAUUGGAGGGGACAAAACCAAGCAAACAUAGAAACUGACCAUGAGGAGUCUGAUUAUUAAGAAUGUGUAUAUUUAUCAUACUGUCUCACAAUCAAGCAGUAUGCAUUAUUUACACUAUGUUUUUAUGGCAUUGUAAUAAGGCAAAAAAAUAUGAUAUUAUAGUUAGUUAGUUAGUAAGUAAGUAAGUAAGUAAGUAAGUAAGUAAGUAAGUAAGUAAGUAAGUAAGUAAGUAAGUAAGUAAGUAAGUAAGUAAGUAAGUAAGUAAGUAAGUAAGUAAGUAAGUAAGCCGAAGAGCAGGAGAAGCCCCACAUGCUCAAGCUUGCCAGUUUUAUUAAACAUUUUGGAAUUUUACUAUAUUAGAUUAUUACAUAUGAAUAUAUUUCAUUAGCUGCUGUCAAGUAAAUGUCAGUAGGCAGGAAAUGUAUUCAUUUAGUGAUCCAAUUUCUGUAAUAAUCUAAUAUAGUAAGAAUCUUAUGUUAGGAAAAGUAGUAAGCUGAGAUUUCAACAUACAACCAAACACCCCACUUAGUACAAUCCGGGUUCCCCCUUGUAUAAAUCAAAUCGGAUUCAACCAACACCUGUUUGACAGUCUGACCUUACACCUCGGCUUGGACGGAGCUCGGACGCGAGCACACGCUACAAACAUUUGGGUAAGUUCAAUUCAAUGAAAUAUCACGAAACAACUUUGUGUAGCUCUGCCAUUAACUUCCAAAUCAUGUCAAAGGAAAUCGUAGUAGUAGUAGUAUUAAUAAUUGAAAUGUAAUUUCUCUGUUGACUUUCAAGCAUCUGAACUGGUGAUAUCAUUGAUAGAAAAUGUAGGAAAAGGCAAAGGAAAAUCAAAACAAAGAGGGGAAGACGGCCUGCGGUGCUUUAGUCAGAAAGCGCUCCUCUGUUCAUUCGGCAGCCUGGACAGAAGACAUUGACAAAACAUAUGAUAUUUUCUGACAGUUAAGUGUGUCUUUGCUUGUGCAGUAGUUUGUUGCGGUGGCAUGAGGAGGAUUACAUGGUCUUUGCUUCAUUUAUCCAUUACCGCUUCUUCUUUCUUCAUUUUAUUCAUGUAUCUUAACAUUCCAAAUCUUCACUUAUUCCUCUCUGGGCUGCAGCCUUUUCCGUAUCUCGUUAUCUUAUCACCACCAAUGACUUCAAUCACUUCCAGGUACACAGUCAGUUUUUCGUUGGCGCAGCGGUUAGCGCUGUCGCCUCUCAUCGAGAGGGUUCCCGGUUCGAGGCUCGGCCGUGCGAUCUUUUUGCGUGGAGUUCGCAUGUUCUCCCCGGGUACCUCAGUAUAAUAUGUUUUAAAAAUGUCAUAGUGUAGUAAGGUACAGAACUUGGACAAUCUUAUAUUAUUGUUGUUGUUGUUGUUGUUGUUGUUGUUAUUUAUUUAUAUAUAUAUAUAUAUUUUUUUUUUUUUGAACAAGGCCUGUUGGUUUUGUCUUGUUUCUUCUACAGGAGUCCUUGUAAGAUGGUGGUGCUGAUACCGGAGCCGCCCAGUUAAGUGUUACCUGAUGUCAGAAGAAGAAGAAGAAGAAGAAGAAGCAUGAGUAUUUGAGAUCAACAACCAAAGUCUACAGUCCUUGGCUUGUGUGAAACGUCCAGCUGCUCAUCAACUGUGAGAUGGGGGAAGAGAAGUUUUGAUGUAUGAAUACAGAGGGUCCAAUUGGAGAUGUCUUACCUCGAAGGACUAUUUGGAGGAUCCAAUUAGGAGCGUCAACGAGGCGCAGCCCUGUGCAAUUAGGAGUGUCACCGAGGCACCGCCCAGUGAGGAGAUGCGAUUGGCUGUUCACAGGUGUGAGCAAUCAGCAGUGUGCUACUUGAGCAGCAGUGCCGCAAACACCGAAGGCACGGGUGAAGAUCUGCAGGGGCUGCUAGCUAACUCCUUUGUGUGCAAACACCGAGGACCUGCUAGCUAACUCCUUUGUGUGCAAACACCGAAGACACGGGUGAAGGCUAACUUCUUUCUCCGCAAACGAUGGCUUGGACAGCAAAAACCGAAGGCACGGGUGAAGACCUGCCCUGCUCCUUUCCUCAAACACCGAAGACACGGGUGAAGGCUAACUUCUUUCUCCGCAGGCGGCAGCCAUUGCACUCAUUGUCUCUGCCGUGUGCUUCAUGGCUCACAGCUGUGUAGGAUGAAGCAAAGACUGAAGGGUGCUCUCUGCAAACACUCUGGAGCUGUGGUGUCACCAACAAUGAAAGGUAAGUGUUGAAAAGCUGUAGGUAACACUAUCGCAAGCAUUUACCUUCUGCCUUUUCCUCCACCAGCACCAAGAGCCCCUUGCUGAUGACACCAAGCCCAUUCCUGCUCACAAACCAUGGGGGAAAGAGAAGAAGGAACCAACCAACUGCUAAUUGUGGAUCCUACCUGGAUCCACUCAAGCUGUAGAUCUGGAGGAUGAGGUGGUUUUGAACCCUCUUCAGCCACUGGACGGUGGCCAAGUAGUUCUCACUGAGGGCAGGAAAGAAAAGACAGAUCUGUCCCCUUAUCCUUUAGCUG